Molecule: ribosomal RNA, 836 nt
Filed under: uncultured bacterium
Lineage: Bacteria
Description: bacterial SSU rRNA
Rfam family: Bacterial small subunit ribosomal RNA
Source: RNAcentral
AGAGUUUGAUCCUGGCUCAGGACGAACGCUGGCGGCGUGCUUAACACAUGCAAGUCGAACGGGAGUUACAAUGAAACUUAGUGAAUUGUAACUUUAGUGGCGGACGGGCGAGUAACGCGUGGAUAACCUGCCUAUAUGACCGGGAUAACGCCGGGAAACUGGCGCUAAUACGGGAUACGCUUGUAUGGACACAAGUUUGUACAAGGAAUGGAGCAAUCCGCAUAUAGAUGGGUCCGCGUCCCAUUAGCUAGUUGGAGGUGUAAGAGACCCCCAAGGCGACGAUGGGUAGCCGGCCUGAGAGGGUGGACAGCCACACUGGAACUGAGACACGGUCCAGACUCCUACGGGAGGCAGCAGUGGGGAAUAUUCCGCAAUGGGCGCAAGCCUGACGGAGCAACGCCGCGUGAAUGAGGAAGGCCUUCGGGUUGUAAAAUUCUGUCUUCAGGGAAGAAGAAAGUGACGGUACCUGAGGAGGAAGCCCCGGCUAACUACGUGCCAGCAGCCGCGGUAAAACGUAGGGGGCGAGCGUUGUCCGGAAUUACUGGGCGUAAAGGGCGCGUAGGCGGUGAGGUAAGUCUCGAGGUGAAAACUUUCGGCUCAACCGGAAGCGUGCCUGAGAAACUGCCUGACUUGAGUGCAGGAGAGGGGAGUGGAAUUCCCAGUGUAGCGGUGAAAUGCGUAGAUAUUGGGAGGAACACCAGUGGCGAAGGCGGCUCUCUGGCCUGUAACUGACGCUGAGGCGCGAAAGCGUGGGGAGCGAACGGGAUUAGAUACCCCGGUAGUCCACGCCGUAAACGAUGGGUGCUAGGUGUAGGAGGUAUCGACCCCUUCUGUGC